UGGGGAAUAUUGCACAAUGGGGGAAACCCUGAUGCAGCGACGCCGCGUGAACGAAGAAGGUAUUCGUAUCGUAAAGUUCUGUCCUAUGGGAAGAUAAUGACAGUACCAUAGAAGAAAGCUCCGGCUAAAUACGUGCCAGCAGCCGCGGUAAUACGUAUGGAGCGAGCGUUGUCCGGAAUUAUUGGGCGUAAAGGGUACGCAGGCGGUUUAAUAAGUCGAAUGUUAAAGAUCGGGGCUCAACCCCGUAAAGCAUUGGAAACUGAUAAACUUGAGUAGUGGAGAGGAAAGUGGAAUUCCUAGUGUAGUGGUGAAAUGCGUAGAUAUAUGGAGGAACACCAGUGGCGAAGGCGACUCUCUGGUCUGUAACUGACGCUGAGGCUCGAAAGCGUGGGUAGCAAACAGG
This 403-nucleotide ribosomal RNA is filed under the name Bacteroidota bacterium. RNAcentral describes it as "Bacteroidetes bacterium partial 16S ribosomal RNA". It matches the Rfam family "Bacterial small subunit ribosomal RNA", at positions 355 to 776 of the family's 1533-position model. Lineage: Bacteria; Pseudomonadati; Bacteroidota. The record is from RNAcentral.